Molecule: ribosomal RNA, 303 nt
Filed under: Triticum aestivum (bread wheat)
Lineage: Eukaryota; Viridiplantae; Streptophyta; Magnoliopsida; Poales; Poaceae
Description: partial small subunit ribosomal RNA
Source: RNAcentral
AUGGCAACAAAUGAUCAUUUGUCUGUUAUGCAGAAGAAGAAACGUUAUCGCAAUAGGGCUUCGCAAGAACGCCUGACUAUAUUGACCGAUGGAUUUACUGAUGAGCAAAAGGGAGCUACUGGUGAGAUGGGGAUGCAGGCUUUGAUGGAUGUUCGGUGCAAGAACCUAGUGAACCCUGUAUGCGACUGGCUCGGUGAGAUUUAUGAUCCUGCCUCCAGGGAAUUUGUGAUACCGGGACGUGGAAGACUUCCUUUGGAUGAGGAGUCCGUGUUCUGCACUUUGGGUGGGGGAAGACUUGUAUAG